AUGCCAAUGAUAUCCCUGCAGGAUGAAACUGAAAUGGAAAGCUUCUGGGCUGAAAUGGCAACCCGGAAACAUAAGGUGACAGGAGCCAACGAAUUUCAGAGGCUUGCUGCCGUUGCCAAGCUGGUCCUGGUGUUGCCCCAUUUCAACGCAGACGCUGAGAGGGUGUUUUCAGUUGUGGGACUUAACAAAACAAAGACCAGAAACAGCCUAGCACUGAAUGGCACCCUGUCCUCAAUAAUGACCAUAAAGAUGGCCGACCUGGAGCCCUGUUUCAAAUGGGAGCCCCCCUCAGAUGUCCUCAAGGCCUCCAAGAAGGCCACAGGCCAGUAUAACCGUGCCCACAGAUCAUAGACGAGGACUAGCUUCUGAUCUGCAUCUGAUACGGAUGACUUCAUUUUUUGUUAUUUUUGUAAUGCAUUCAUCUUUUAUUGCUUGAAAAAGUUGUACUGUUUAAGCACUGUUUCUAAUGGACCAUGUGGUGGGAGGCUUUGAAUGAAGAAUCAUUUAUCUCCCUAACUAAUCUUGUCGUUUUUGGCUGAACAUAAAUCAUUAAGUGCUCUUAAGAAUACAAUUAUUCACAACAUAGGUUAGGUUUCAGUUCAGAAUUUGUUUAAUACCAUUGUUGUGGUCAAAAUAUCAAUCAACCUACCUAGGUCAAAUCACUGGUCUAUGAAUAAGGCUAUAUUGUGACACAUAGGCAGUCAUUUAGGCACAACAAUAGUUUUCUGGUUUAAUGUCCAACUCCAGACUAGGCCCUACAAGUCCUGAUGCCAAACAUGAAUCAGAAUAAGUUCAGGUAUUGCACAUCUUUGGCAGACCACCCAAAAAUCCACUAUAAUGAAGGAAAUCACAUCUACUUGAUCCAACAUUUCCUUGGGAUGGACCUUCAGCUAUGUCUUUGCUUCACAUAAUGUAACCAAUAUUGCCCAUCUCCAGUGAGCCGCCCCUAUCAAUGGCUUGGGGCCUACCCACAAACCACCAAAAUGCAGGGUACAACAUGGGUUCAACAUCCAAUUAAAUAAAAUUCUCUCAAAUCUGAGCCUGCGUUGUCAGGGGUACCCCCGACAAAAUCUCACUCCAAGAUUUUUUGAAAAGUUGGCAGCUCUGACUAAAGUGAGAUCAUCGUUGUGUUGUGUACUAAAGUGAGACCAUCGUUGGGUUGUGUACUAAAGUGAGAUCAUCAUUGUGUUGUAUUGUGUACUAAAGUGAGAUCAUCGUAAGGGUUGUGUACUAAAGUGAGACCAUCGUUGGGUUGUGUACUAAAGUGAGACCAUCGUUGGGUUGUGUACUAAAGUGAGACCAUCGUUGGGUUGUGUACUAAAGUGAGACCAUCGUUGGGUUGUGUACUAAAGUGAGAUCAUCAUUGUGUUGUGUACUAAAGUGAGACCAUCGUUGGGUUGUGUACUAAAGUGAGAUCAUCGUUGUGUUGUGUACUAAAGUGAGACCAUCGUUGGGUUGUGUACUAAAGUGAGAUCAUCGUUGUGUUGUGUACUAAAGUGAGAUCAUCGUUGUGUUGUGUACUAAAGUGAGAUCAUCGUUGUGUUGUGUACUAAAGUGAGAUCAUCAUUGUGUUGUGUUGUGAACUAAAGUGAGAUCAUCGUUGUGUUGUGUACUAAAGUGAGAUCAUCAUUGUGUUGUGUUGUGUUCCCCUAGGUGGAGCAGGGUGAAGAGUCAACACCGUCACCAGCGUCAUAACACCUAAACUGCCAAUACAUAAAAUGGCGUACAGUGAAGUAAGACCUGUAAUGGUGUCGGGAGAUUCUAGAGAUAGGAGAGCCUCACCGCCCACGGUGUCCAUGGUUACGCACAUGGACACCGGCAUGGACACACACGCACUUAAAUCGUGUGUGUGUGUGUGUGUGUGUGUGUGUGUGUGUGUGUGUGUGUGUGUGUGUGUGUGUGUGUGUGUGUGUGUGUGUGUGUGUGUGUGUGUGUGUGUGUGUGUGUGUGUGUGUGUGUGUGAGCACUCUGUACCCUGAAUACUCUGUCCACUCUGAGUAUUCUGCACUCUGACAGAGAGCUCAGAGCUCUCUGUCCAUGCUUCAAUAAGCUGAUUAUAAUUUAUCACUGAGUGAGGUCAUGGAUCAGCCGCCUUUUCGAGGUUAGUCUGGGUGGAGUUUGAACUGGGAGGGGAACUGGUCCAACAGGAAGAAGACUAAGAUACUGUAGUCCACUAUUAUCUGUGGUAGAUCAUAAAUGUGAAUAACUGAAUCCUAUCAGUAGGUUGAAUAUUUUUAAGAUUCCUGCUCUACAGGAUGCUACGUGUUAGACUGUGGGCAUUGGGGAUCGAACUUCUUGUGCCUUCUUGCGUCCUUGGGUGACUUUAAAGGUACUUGGGACAGAAUGAACUGUUGUUAUAUUUGUAGUCCGGUAUUAUGGUAACAUUAUUUUAACGGGAAUCUUGGUUAGUGAAGACGUUUAAAAGUCUACUCUUACCGGGGCUUGUACUCUGAGGGUCUGCAUCACAGAUCUGGUUGUGAUGUCACACCACAUGAGGAAGUCCAUGUAUGGUCCUGCCUUCAGAGCGGUUUAACCAGCACAGGGAGCAGUUGGUAUGAUAUCCGCACGGUGAACUUGAUCUAAUCAGACACAUUUUGUAGCCUUUUGAAACCUUCUGUGUUGAAGUUACGUUAUUAAAUGUAUAUCAGGAAACUCUGGGAAUGAGAGGGUCUUUGAAUCUGCGUCUAGGAAAGACCACCCUGCCUCUGGUCCAAAGUUAACAGAGACAACAGCCCCCUGUGAGCGGAAUACACAGCUCAUAUAAAAGCAGAGUCUGGGAGGAGUAUGAACUGGGAGGGGAACUGGUCAAACUGGUUGGACAUCAUUUCCUUGAUAUGAGUCGGACGGUUUGGUGUGGCUCACUUCAUCACAGCAGGAAGACGACUCAGGUACUGUAGUCCACUCUGAUCCAUGAUAGAUCAUAAAUAUGAAUAUCUUUGAGUCUUGUCAAUAGGUUGAUGUCAGUUUCCUGUAAAACCACAGGGUUAAAAACGUAGUCAAUGUAUGGAUGCAUUGCUAUUUGUCAAAAUUACGAUUGAAUAAUUUAGAAGAUUCCUGUUCUGUAGAAUGCUACGUGUUAGACUGUGGGCUUUGGGGAUCGAACCCAGAACCUUUCAGCCUUGAGUCAAGCGUCAGGUUGAGGUUAAUAAUGACUGUUUCGUCUGAUUCAGCAUUGGUUCUUAAUCUCAAGUCCUGUGGUGGCUUUAAAGGUACUGAGGAUAGAAUGGACAGUGGUUAUAUUUGUAGUGGGGUAUUAUGAUUACAUUAUUUCAACAGGAAGACGGCCAUCUUGGUUAGUGAAGGUGUCUAAACGUCAUCUUGUACUGGGUCUUGUUCUCUGUGGGCCUGCAUCAUUCUGAAGUAGUGAAGGCCUACUCUAUAUCUGAGAGCAUCACUCGUAGGAGAGGGACAUGACCUUCGAGGUGAAUUAACACUGCCGCAACCGCCUCCUCACAGAAGUCACUGGUGACGACUGGUUUGUGUUCUUCAGCUCAGCCCAUCCCACUGACAUCCUCUCACCAGCAGGUGGUGCUGCAGUGCACCAUUUCAAGGGUUUCAAAACGGACCUAGCAAUAUGAUCCACUUUACUACCGCUGGAGUUGAUUGAAUCACAGACUGCAGAAGAUUAGACCAUUUGUGACUUUUUUUCUUUAUGUGUGUGUGUUUGUAUGAACCCUGAACCUUCCAGCCUGGAGUCAAGUGUCAGGAUGACGUUAAUAAUGACUUUUUCUUCUUUUGUCUCCUUGUGUCCUUGGGUGACUUUAAAGGUACUUAGGACAGAAUGAACUGUUGU
This 3793-nucleotide long non-coding RNA is filed under the name Gadus morhua (Atlantic cod). Its description in RNAcentral is "lncRNA (ENSGMOG00000033599.1)". The record is from RNAcentral. Lineage: Eukaryota; Metazoa; Chordata; Actinopteri; Gadiformes; Gadidae.